UUUGCUUUCCAUUUCUUUGUGUUCCUGGCUUUGAUUGCAGCCUCAGGUUGGUGUCUCCAGGAGCAGCACCCAUCCCUGACCCUCUGUGCUCCCUCCCUGCAGGGUGACAUCCAGCAGCUCCUGAUCGUGGCGGACCCGCGGGCAGCCCUGGAGUACUGUGAGCACUACAGCCCCGACUGUGACACCGCCAUCCCCGACUCCCCCCAGUCCCAGGACCCCAACCAGGAUGAAUACUACACAGAUGGGGAGGGAGAAGGUGACACUUACUACUACGAGUACCCCUACUAUGAGGACGUGGACGAAGCUGUCAAACCAGAAAGCCCCACCACCAAACCCAGCCCUCCUGAAGUGGCUGCUGGAGAGAAACCCGAAACCAAGCAGGAUUAUCCAGCUCCCACAGCACCCCCUGAGAGAGGGAACCCCGGGAAGCAGGCCAAGGAGGAUGGAGCAGUGGAUGAUCCCCUGGUUGAUGAGUACAACUACGAGACCAUCA
RNAcentral lists this long non-coding RNA (493 nucleotides) under Geospiza fortis (medium ground-finch). RNAcentral's name for it is "lncRNA (ENSGFOG00000006465.1)". Lineage: Eukaryota; Metazoa; Chordata; Aves; Passeriformes; Thraupidae. The record is from RNAcentral.